GAUGAACGCUGGCGGCGUGCCUAAUACAUGCAAGUCGAGCGAACGGACGAGAAGCUUGCUUCUCUGAUGUUAGCGGCGGACGGGUGAGUAACACGUGGAUAACCUACCUAUAAGACUGGGAUAACUUCGGGAAACCGGAGCUAAUACCGGAUAAUAUUUUGAACCGCAUGGUUCAAAAGUGAAAGACGGUCUUGCUGUCACUUAUAGAUGGAUCCGCGCUGCAUUAGCUAGUUGGUAAGGUAACGGCUUACCAAGGCAACGAUGCAUAGCCGACCUGAGAGGGGGACCGGCCACACGGGAACUGAGACACGGUCAAAACCCCUACGGGAGGCAGAAGGAGGGAAUUUUCCGAAAGGGGCGAAAGCCGGACGGAGAAACGCCGCGGGGGGAAUGAAGGUUUUCGGAUCGUAAAACUCUGUUAUUAGGGAAGAAAAUAUGUGAAAGUAACUGUGCACAUCUUGAGGGUACCUAAUCAAAAAGCCACGGCUAACUACGG
Molecule: ribosomal RNA, 496 nt
Filed under: uncultured bacterium
Lineage: Bacteria
Description: partial 16S ribosomal RNA
Rfam family: Bacterial small subunit ribosomal RNA
Source: RNAcentral